Molecule: ribosomal RNA, 357 nt
Filed under: Triticum aestivum (bread wheat)
Lineage: Eukaryota; Viridiplantae; Streptophyta; Magnoliopsida; Poales; Poaceae
Description: partial small subunit ribosomal RNA
Source: RNAcentral
AUGGUGGUCGAUGCAUUGGCUACCAUCCUAGACAAGACGAAGGCCGCGGGACACAUCCGCGGUAUAGUUCCUCACCUGGUGGGGGGACAUGGUGUGUCCCUACUCCAGUACGCAGACGACGCCAUCAUUAUGAUGGAGGGGUCCACGACGGAUAUCACGAUGAAAUUCCUCCUACUCUGCUUCCAGCAGAUGUCGAGCCUUACAAUCAACUUCGCUAAGAGCGAAGUGAUGGUGAUGGGCUAUUCCCCCGCGGAGAGCCAGAGUAUAGCCAGCCGACUCAACUGUCAGUUAAGCUCCUUCCCCACCACCUAGCUGGAGAUUCCCAUUAGUGACUCUCGGCUCUCGUCGCGGACUUGA